CGUUGAAACAUCGAUUCGCGUAGGAUCAUCGAAGUUAAGCAACGUCAAGCUUAGCCAGUACCAAGAUGGGUGACCGCUUGGGAAUACCUGGUACUGUAA
Molecule: non-coding RNA, 99 nt
Organism: Acanthosepion pharaonis
Lineage: Eukaryota; Metazoa; Mollusca; Cephalopoda; Sepiida; Sepiidae
Source: the annotation of a GenBank genome assembly